Molecule: ribosomal RNA, 274 nt
Filed under: uncultured bacterium
Lineage: Bacteria
Description: partial 16S ribosomal RNA
Rfam family: Bacterial small subunit ribosomal RNA
Source: RNAcentral
AUACGAAGGGGGCUAGCGUUGUUCGGAAUCACUGGGCGUAAAGCGCGCGUAGGUGGAUCAAUUAGUUGAGGGUGAAAUCCCGGGGCUCAACCUCGGAACUGCCUUCAAUACUGUUGAUCUCGAGACCGAGAGAGGUGAGUGGAAUUCCUAGUGUAGAGGUGAAAUUCGUAGAUAUUAGGAAGAACACCAGUGGCGAAGGCGGCUCACUGGCUCGGUACUGACGCUGAGGUGCGAAAGCGUGGGGAGCAAACAGGAUUAGAUACCCUAGUAGUCC